UGUUACGUCCUCAUCAUCAUCAUCUUCAUCAGGGUCGUGAUGGACGAUCUCUGUCACCUCAGACGGGUCGUAUUAUUGAUAUUUAUCUAUCGGCGUCUUACUGAAAUAUAAGAACGAUGAUGUUUUCAACAAAAUGUCGACGAACAAAGACGAAUAAAAUCACUCGUUAGACGUCAUCAGAGAGUCGCUGUGUUGCAUCCAUGAUUUCAACCGUUUGGUGCUUUUACUCCUCAUUUUAAUCAGACGUAUACGAAGUCACUGUAUGAUCGAGGUAUCAACGCAAUUCUUUAGCUGUACGAUAACAAAUCAACUCUGACCAAGACGAGACAAAAGAAGAACCUGCCGUGGAGGGAAGCGAGCGAGAAAGUCAGACUACCUUGUAAGUUUUGGGAAAACGUUUCAGCGCAGCACAUCUCUCAAAGCUCCACUCCAGCGAUGACCUCCUUAGAGUUGUCUGCUUGUCGUCUGGCCGUCAUUUCGAGUUCAUUCUGAUGUGGUAACGUGAGACUGUUCAACACGUCCUGAUGUAGAAAGUUUCCCUCUGACGCGAAGAGAAGAAACUUCAGUCCCAGUCGCCAGCGUGUCGGUCAGAGGAUGAGAGGACAAACAAAGUAAAAGGAAAACCAGCCCACCGGCACCAGCAGGACUUUAUAUCACCGGGCCUGAGUGUCGAGUUGGAUCAGGCACCAGCUCCCAGUGCGAGUUUUCAUUUCCUGUCAUCGUGGUGGACUCCCAUCAGGCAUCGCUCCAGAUUCCCGUUGUGCAACAUUAAAAACACAAAAAACACACAGAACAGAAUGACGGCAAAUAUUUAAGAAGGAACGCCAACAACGACUGCAGCCAAACACCGACAACCACCACGUCCCCUCGGAGCCUCUAACGUCCUGUACACACUCUCAGUUCAUCAGAGCUCUGAUGUCGCUGGGAAAGAACAACAAACAUCUGGUGAAAUGUUUCGGUGUUAGUUGGAAAAGGGCCGGAGUGAGUGAAUUCCCCCUCGCUGAAGCCUCCGUCCAGCUUCCAGCAGGCUGAUGUACUUACUGGCACAAGUGUGUAAACAGAUGAGAUAAGAUAUGAUGUUACUGCGGAACAACUCCCACCUCUGAUCGCACCGACCCGAGGAUGUUCUGUCUUUCCUCGGAGCUUCUCCGCCCGCCAUCAACCGGCUCGAGGUUUGUGGAGUUACAUCGUCUGAGUGAGAGGAAACGAGUCCUGGAUGAGUUUCUGUUGCUCAACAACCAAAUUAUGAAGUCAAACGAGGCGUGUCGGACGUGUCGAGUUUAAUCUCAACUUUAAGUAGUUUUGACAUCAAGUUGUGAAACACUGGAAUUGUCCUUUAAUGACCCUUUAAGUAGAAACAGUUCUGUUCUCACUGGUGCCUGUCUCAUGUUUUUGUGUCCUGUUUUUGUUAUUAUGAAAGUCGUUCUCUUCAUGUGCCAUGUUUUGUUUCACUUCCUGUCUUUGUCUGUUUCCCGCCUCUGUGAUUGUUGAUUUAUUUCACCUGCUUCUGAUUAUAAAUGUUGGAACGGUCGUUUGGUGUGUUUUCCUCCUUCAGCUGCUGAAUGUGUUCCUCAACACUUUACCGGUUAAUACUUACUUUAGUUUAUGUUUUCAUGUAUUUGCCUUGUAUAUUCAGCUCUGCUCAUGAUCAAAUAUCCCUGUUUGUUUCUUUCAUCUUCCUGCCUGGAGCCUUACAUUUGAGUCCUUUCUGCAAAAAAACAGACAGUUUGUAGAUGCAAAAAGAACAAAUAAAGGUAAUAUUUUCCAAAGGUUUUGAGCUUUGUAGGUUCAUAAAUAACAACAACAAAUAAAACAUAAAGAGCUCGAAGACAAGUGCAGAUUGAAAGCAUCCAUAUUCCAUAAAGUCCAGUCCAAAACAAUGGUUUUAUUUAUCUGUGUACAAUGCUGACGGUUGUUUUAGCUUCUGAUGAGGUGU
Molecule: long non-coding RNA, 1936 nt
Organism: Acanthopagrus latus (yellowfin seabream)
Lineage: Eukaryota; Metazoa; Chordata; Actinopteri; Spariformes; Sparidae
Exons: 4
Source: RefSeq, a predicted model, not a curated record